GCCGUUCUGAAAAGCACAGGCACUAGCUUAGUCAUCGCAUCCUCCCCCCGUUCCUACACACACCCCAUCCUCCGGGAUUCACACUGGGGCAGGAGAAUUGCAGCACCAGCACCGACUCCUCGCACGAGUCGAUAGGCGCGACACGUUAGACAAAAAUAGGUGUUGGUGUCUGGGUCUAAGGCGGGGGUGGAUUAAAGUGAAUGCAGGACUGGGAGUCACUGAUACCCCGACUGGGGACCCCUAUGACACGGCGAUUCCUGCUCAACCGCGGGCCGCAGCGCCCGGACCCCCCUUCUUACCUUCCGCCACGUCCUCGUCGAUAGCCCCCUUCACCUGGGAGAAGCACCACUGGAAGUCGUUACCACCUCCUCCUCCGCCACCUCCUGCCACCCCUGCGGAGACAGAGCGCGUUUGGCUGGUCGGUGCAGCUAAUGUUGGAUAAACUGUAAUGAAGUUCAAAAUCAGAGGCGAUAUAGACCCCAACUUGGUAUGCAGGUCCUGUUGGGAUCCUGGGCGAGCAGAAGCCUGGUAUGCAGAUCCUGCCUUCAAACAAAGACCCAGAGGCUUCUGAGUGGAAUUUUCUAGCACCCAUGUUCACAAAAAAGCCAUCAGCUUUGACACUUUUAUAGAGCAAUCUUUACCACACUAAAGCUGGCAUUUACUACACAUCUUAAAAAGGCUGAUAUGCUUGUUGCGGCAAUACUUCCCAAAGAGGCUAUCACUUGGAAUGUAAACAUCCUGCUUAAUUUCCAAUGCACAUGAAACGCUCACUCAUUCAAGAGCUAAAGUGGCUUUACUUUUAGCACUAACUCUUUCAUCCAGAUGUUCAGAUUCUCAUAUAUGCACUUUGGCUGAUUUGUACCUUCCCAAAGGCUUUCAUAGGAAAAGAUAAAAACUAAAAACCAGUAGAGCUAAACAUCUUAUUUGACAAGGAUGACCUAGAUUUAUGUCUUGCUCUAUACUUAGACUUGGAUCUGGGUAAGAUAGCUCCCUGAAAUUGAACAUUACAUGCUGGUUUAUCAUUAUCACUCCUUCCUCCUCACCCACCCACCCACUUUUAUUGAUCAGGUCAUAGUAUUGUUGUGGCAGGCAUUGCUAAAUAUCUGUGUGUUUUAAAACUUUAUUGGUAAGAAGUGUAGAAGUCAACAGCUAAUGAAUGAGAUGCCCAGGAGCCUUUUAAUCUUUAUUUAUUUUUAUUUUUUUUGCCAGUUCAGCCAUCACUUCAACCUAAAGACACAGAUAUUAGUAGUUCUUUUUGAGUCCCAAUUUCACUUAUGAACAGAAAUUUUCUUUGGAGCUGCAUACUCAGGCCUCAGUAAACACCGUACUUAUUUUCAGCCACAGGAAGAAUAAAACAUUAUUUUUUGUGUGAAAAUUUGAAGUUGUGUUUGAAAAUUUUCAAUCCCUCAC
Mauremys reevesii (Reeves's turtle) is the source of this 1410-nucleotide long non-coding RNA. RefSeq lists it as uncharacterized. NCBI's taxonomy places the organism in Eukaryota, Metazoa, Chordata, Testudines, Geoemydidae. The record is from RefSeq and is a predicted model, not a curated record. The transcript is spliced from 3 exons.